CGAGUAAGCCAGACAGCCGCGUGGGGCAACUCACGAGGAAAGUCCGAGCUCCAUAGGGCAAGGAUAGCGGGUAACGCCCGCCGAAGGCGACUUCAGGACCAGUGCAACAGAGAUAUACCGCCCCGCCGCCUUCCGCCGAAUGGCGGGAGACGGCGAGGUAAGGGUGGAAAGGCGAGGUAAGAGCUCACCGGCUGCCGGGAGACCGGCAGGCCCUGUAAACUCUAUCCGGAGCAACACCGACACGGGGGUUAAGUCUGCCCGGCGUCCCCGGACGGGUGGCUUGAGCCGCGGAGCAAUCCGCGGCCUAGAUAGAUGGCUGUCAAAUACAGAACUCGGCUUACAGACUUGCUCGCAAA
This 356-nucleotide RNase P RNA is filed under the name Oscillospiraceae bacterium OttesenSCG-928-G22. RNAcentral describes it as "RNase P RNA component class A". It matches the Rfam family "Bacterial RNase P class A". From Rfam's summary of the family: Ribonuclease P (RNase P) is a ubiquitous endoribonuclease, found in archaea, bacteria and eukarya as well as chloroplasts and mitochondria. Its best characterised activity is the generation of mature 5'-ends of tRNAs by cleaving the 5'-leader elements of precursor-tRNAs. Lineage: Bacteria; Bacillati; Bacillota; Clostridia; Eubacteriales; Oscillospiraceae. The record is from RNAcentral.